UCCGGUUUGACACCGGCAGUCUCGCUAGAGUCCAGCCUUGCGGCGUAGCAACUAGCGACAGGGGUUUCGCUCGUUAAGGGACUUAACCCGACACUUCACAGCACGAGCUGACGACAGCCAUGCAGCACCUGUGCACGUUCCGCUCUUGCGAGUGUUAUCCCGGUUUCCCGGGACUAAUCCGUGUAUGUCAAGCCCUGGAUAAGGUUCUUCGCGUUGCUUCGAAUUGAGCCACAUGUUCCACCGCUUGUGUGAGUCCCCGUCAAUUCCUUUGAGUUUUAGCCUUGCGACCGUACUCCCCAGGCGGUACACUAAAUACUUUCGCUUCGACCCGGAUGGCGUCAGAGCCUCCCGGAUCUAGUGUACAUCGUUUAGGGCAUGGACUAC
RNAcentral lists this unclassified non-coding RNA (384 nucleotides) under uncultured Phycisphaeraceae bacterium. RNAcentral's name for it is "contains 16S-23S intergenic spacer region". The record is from RNAcentral. Lineage: Bacteria; Pseudomonadati; Planctomycetota; Phycisphaerae; Phycisphaerales; Phycisphaeraceae.